RNAcentral lists this ribosomal RNA (253 nucleotides) under uncultured bacterium. RNAcentral's name for it is "partial 16S ribosomal RNA". It matches the Rfam family "Bacterial small subunit ribosomal RNA", at positions 524 to 776 of the family's 1533-position model. The record is from RNAcentral.
UACGUAGGGAGCAAGCGUUGUCCGGAAUCAUUGGGCGUAAAGCGCGCGUAGGUGGCUUCAUAAGUCCGUUGUGAAAGUCAAAGGCUCAACCUUUGAAAGCCGAUGGAUACUGUGGAGCUAGAGUACGGAAGAGGCGAGUGGAACUCCUGGUGUAGCGGUGGAAUGCGCAGAUAUCAGGAAGAACACCAACGGCGAAGGCAGCUCGCUGGGACGGUACUGACGCUGAGACGCGAAAGCGUGGGGAGCGAACAGG